GAGUAAGUUUAUGGUUAUAUAAACAACAGUAAAUUUUAUUAAGGUUUCUUUUAAUGUAAUUUUAAAUUAUAAACAACUCAUUUCUUAGAGAAUUAAUUAUUUUUGUACAAUGAUUUAUUUAAUACAGUUAAAAAUUUAUUAUAGGUUAAUUAACGUGCCAGCUACCGCGGUUAUACAUUAUAUAAAAAUUAAAUUUUAUUUCCAUUAUUUUUCUUAAUUUAGUAAAAUAAGCUAUAUGUUAUAAAUAUUUUUAAUAUUUAUAAUAAAGAAAAAUUUUUAUAAUCAUAUUUAAAAAUUGAUUAGUACCAAUUUAUAAAAAAAAAAAAUAGAAUAGAAAAGAAAUCAAUUAAUUAGGCGGUCGACCUAAAAUAGGGAAGCUUGUAUAUUAAAAUGAUAGUCCUCAUUAAUUUAUGUACUAAUGUCUACUUGUAGUGUAUGUCCGUAACUCUUUAUUAUUAAAAUAAUAAAGAAAACAUUAUUACAUAUAUAUUUAUGUAAUAAUUUAUUACAGGUCUUUAUGCUCUUAGCAUUAGGUUAUAUUAGCUUUUAUAUGAAAUAGUGUAAAAUAGAAUAUUUUUAAAUAAACUUAUAAGUAAAAAUAAUAAUAUUGUUUUGAAUUUUUAUGGUUGAAGCACUCACUGCCCGCUAUAUAGUUUUAUUAUAAAGGCGUAACAAGGUAGUUAUUCCAGAAGGAAUAACUGGUAAUCUAGA
Ciona intestinalis (vase tunicate) is the source of this 711-nucleotide non-coding RNA. The record is from Ensembl. Lineage: Eukaryota; Metazoa; Chordata; Ascidiacea; Phlebobranchia; Cionidae.